This 20-nucleotide microRNA is filed under the name Corchorus capsularis. Its description in RNAcentral is "sRNA CCACVL1_13546". The record is from RNAcentral. Lineage: Eukaryota; Viridiplantae; Streptophyta; Magnoliopsida; Malvales; Malvaceae.
GUUUCUUUUUUUUCUUUUUC